UGUUACUUUGCUUUAAUUCUAGUAUUAUUUGAUUGUUUUAAAUAAUUAGGAAACUAGGACUUCUUUCUAUUGGUUUAUUAGGUAGUUUAUCAUUUCAAGUAAUUGAAUCUCUAAAUAUCUUUUUUUUAUUUUUGGAAGUUUAUUUCUCUUUAAGUGUAAGGCCAUUGGCCAUCGUUUUUAGUCAAUGAAAAUUAUUAUUGAAAGAAAGCCAAAAGUUGUCGCCCCUCUCUCACGAUUUCUCUCUCGCCUCUCACUAUUUCCCUUCUUUUCUCGAUUUCUUUCUCUUUUCUCUCUCGUUAGUCCCCCUCUCUCGCUAUUCUCUCUUUCUCCUCAUCCCUCUCUCUCUUUCACUUCCCUGUUCUAUCGAUUACUGUUCUGGUUUGCUGCGGUUACUGAGUAUUGCAGAUUGGAGAUCAACUCAGUUGCAAAAUCUUCAUCAGAAUGCUGCUGAACAUUCAAUCACCAAACUGGAAUUUUUCCUUCAUUAAAUAAGGUGGACUACACUUUUAUUUUGGAGGACCUUGAAUGCUUCUUUUCUCCUCAGACUGACAGCAGAACAAGAUACAGAGCAUAAGACUGUAUUAGUCCACAUGACAAGAUGGGGUAGCUGAAGGGAAGAGUGUUGCAUAUACAAAAGCACCUAUAACUCAACUCAAUGAAGCUUUUUCUCAACUAAAUGAGAAUGUUGCAUACACCACUGCUCAGCCUCAGUGAAGGAGGCCAUGUAUGAAGAAAUGAUAGCUUUUGGGAGGAAUAGCAGAAAGGAGUUGAAAAGCCUUCAAGGGAGAAGGAAGCAUAGGCUACAAGUAG
Macadamia integrifolia is the source of this 810-nucleotide long non-coding RNA. RefSeq lists it as uncharacterized. The transcript has 3 exons. The record is from RefSeq and is a predicted model, not a curated record. NCBI's taxonomy places the organism in Eukaryota, Viridiplantae, Streptophyta, Magnoliopsida, Proteales, Proteaceae.